RNAcentral lists this long non-coding RNA (577 nucleotides) under Salmo salar (Atlantic salmon). RNAcentral's name for it is "lncRNA (ENSSSAG00000114674.1, ENSSSAG00020063487.1, ENSSSAG00075011194.1)". Lineage: Eukaryota; Metazoa; Chordata; Actinopteri; Salmoniformes; Salmonidae. The record is from RNAcentral.
GUUGCAGUUGUAAAUGAGAACUUGUUCUCAACUGGCCUACCUGGUUAAAUAAAGGUGUAAUAAAUAAAACAUUGAACUUGGAGUCUGUAGUUGUACACAGUGAAGCAUUGAGGAUGAGUAAUUGUGUUCUUGGAGUGAUGUCAUAAUGGAUCAUGCGGUCAUAAGAAGAUAGAAUCCUCUUGCCAUUAGGCUACAAUCUUAGGUGGGAGAACAUUCUGAGAGAAGAUUAGUUGGAGAAGGUCAUCAUAUUGUGCCCUAGGCCUUUGAGUGGAGAAAAAUACUCAACAGCAGAGCGGAGAAAAUUAUUCCUCAGUACCCGCCCACACAUCUUCCCUCAUCCAUGACAGGUUGCAAUGGUUCUUACUGGUAUUCCUUGAAGAGGUGGGGUUUCAGGUGUCUCCGGAAGGUGGUGAUUGACUCCGCUGUCCUGGCGUCGUGAGGGAGCUUGUUCCACCAUUGGGGUGCCAGAGCAGCGAACAGUUUUGACUGGGCUGAGCGGGAACUGUGCUUCCUCAGAGGUAGGGAGGCGAGCAGGCCAGAGGUGGAUGAACGGAGUGCCCUUGUUUGGGUGUAGGGC